CUGGGGGAUUAGUGGCGAACGGGUGAGUAACACGUGAGUAACCUGCCCUUGACUCUGGGAUAAGCCUGGGAAACUGGGUCUAAUACCGGAUAUGACUGUCUGACGCAUGUCAGGUGGUGGAAAGCUUUUGUGGUUUUGGAUGGACUCGCGGCCUAUCAGCUUGUUGGUGGGGUAAUGGCCUACCAAGGCGACGACGGGUAGCCGGCCUGAGAGGGUGACCGGCCACACUGGGACUGAGACACGGCCCAGACUCCUACGGGAGGCAGCAGUGGGGAAUAUUGCACAAUGGGCGCAAGCCUGAUGCAGCGACGCCGCGUGAGGGAUGACGGCCUUCGGGUUGUAAACCUCUUUCAGUAGGGAAGAAGCGAAAGUGACGGUACCUGCAGAAGAAGCGCCGGCUAACUACGUGCCAGCAGCCGCGGUAAUACGUAGGGCGCAAGCGUUAUCCGGAAUUAUUGGGCGUAAAGAGCUCGUAGGCGGUUUGUCGCGUCUGCUGUGAAAGACCGGGGCUCAACUCCGGUUCUGCAGUGGGUACGGGCAGACUAGAGUGAUGUAGGGGAGACUGGAAUUCCUGGUGUAGCGGUGAAAUGCGCAGAUAUCAGGAGGAACACCGAUGGCGAAGGCAGGUCUCUGGGCAUUAACUGACGCUGAGGAGCGAAAGCAUGGGGAGCGAACAGGAUUAGAUACCCUGGUAGUCCAUGCCGUAAACGUUGGGCACUAGGUGUGGGGGACAUUCCACGUUUUCCGCGCCGUAGCUAACGCAUUAAGUGCCCCGCCUGGGGAGUACGGCCGCAAGGCUAAAACUCAAAGGAAUUGACGGGGGCCCGCACAAGCGGCGGAGCAUGCGGAUUAAUUCGAUGCAACGCGAAGAACCUUACCAAGGCUUGACAUGAACCGGUAAUACCUGGAAACAGGUGCCCCGCUUGCGGUCGGUUUACAGGUGGUGCAUGGUUGUCGUCAGCUCGUGUCGUGAGAUGUUGGGUUAAGUCCCGCAACGAGCGCAACCCUCGUUCUAUGUUGCCAGCGCGUUAUGGCGGGGACUCAUAGGAGACUGCCGGGGUCAACUCGGAGGAAGGUGGGGACGACGUCAAAUCAUCAUGCCCCUUAUGUCUUGGGCUUCACGCAUGCUACAAUGGCCGGUACAAAGGGUUGCGAUACUGUGAGGUGGAGCUAAUCCCAAAAAGCCGGUCUCAGUUCGGAUUGGGGUCUGCAACUCGACCCCAUGAAGUCGGAGUCGCUAGUAAUCGCAGAUCAGCAACGCUGCGGUGAAUACGUUCCCGGGCCUUGUACACACCGCCCGUCAAGUCACGAAAGUUGGUAACACCCGAAGCC
RNAcentral lists this ribosomal RNA (1332 nucleotides) under Arthrobacter sp. RNAcentral describes it as "bacterial SSU rRNA". It matches the Rfam family "Bacterial small subunit ribosomal RNA", at positions 84 to 1428 of the family's 1533-position model. Lineage: Bacteria; Bacillati; Actinomycetota; Actinomycetes; Micrococcales; Micrococcaceae. The record is from RNAcentral.